UACAGAGGUCUCAAGCGUUGUUCGGAUUCAUUGGGCGUAAAGGUUGCGUAGGCGGCUCGGUAAGUCGGGUGUGAAAUCUCGGAGCUUAACUUCGAAACUGCAUUCGAUACUGCCGUGCUUGAGGACUGGAGAGGAGACUGGAAUUUACGGUGUAGCGGUGAAAUGCGUAGAUAUCGUAAGGAAGACCAGUGGCGAAGGCGGGUCUCUGGGACGGUACUGACGCUGAGACGCGAAAGCGUGGGGAGAGAACAGG
RNAcentral lists this ribosomal RNA (253 nucleotides) under uncultured bacterium. RNAcentral describes it as "partial 16S ribosomal RNA". It matches the Rfam family "Bacterial small subunit ribosomal RNA", at positions 524 to 776 of the family's 1533-position model. The record is from RNAcentral.